This 499-nucleotide ribosomal RNA is filed under the name uncultured bacterium. Its description in RNAcentral is "partial 16S ribosomal RNA". It matches the Rfam family "Bacterial small subunit ribosomal RNA", at positions 899 to 1397 of the family's 1533-position model. The record is from RNAcentral.
ACUCAAAGGAAUUGACGGGGGCCCGCACAAGCGGUGGAGCAUGUGGUUCAAUUCGACGCAACGCGAAGAACCUUACCUGGGCUCGAACGGGUAGUCAACGGCGGUGGAAACAUCGCUACCCCGCAAGGGGGUCUAUUCGAGGUGCUGCAUGGCUGUCGUCAGCUCGUGUCGUGAGAUGUUGGGUUAAGUCCCGCAACGAGCGCAACCCUUGUCCUGUGUUGCCAUCAUUCAGUUGGGAACUCGCAGGAGACCGCCAGCGAUAAGUUGGAGGAAGGUGGGGAUGACGUCAAGUCCUCAUGGCCUUUAUGUCCAGGGCUACACACGUGCUACAAUGGACGGUACAAAGCGCAGCGAACCCGCGAGGGGGAGCCAAUCGCAAAAAACCGUUCUCAGUUCGGAUUGCAGGCUGCAACUCGCCUGCAUGAAGCUGGAAUCGCUAGUAAUGGCAGAUCAGCACGCUGCCGUGAAUACGUUCCCGGGCCUUGUACACACCGCCCGU